This 417-nucleotide long non-coding RNA is filed under the name Mytilus galloprovincialis (Mediterranean mussel). The record is from RNAcentral. Lineage: Eukaryota; Metazoa; Mollusca; Bivalvia; Mytilida; Mytilidae.
AUUGAACUUGAUUUAAUAUGCUCUUUAUGAGCCCUGUAAUUUGGAAAACUAAAUAUUUUAUUCUAUUCUAUUCUAUUCUCAUCUCAUACCCGUAGUCACGGGGCCCUUUGAAAACAAAUAAGCACUGUUAAAGUCAACGUUCUAUUCGAAUUGUGACUGUUAAAGUUGAGUUCGUGAAUCCAAAUACCCCCCUUUUUUUCCUUUGGAAAUUCCUGGCUACGGGCCUGAUUCUACUAUACUAUUGUCAAUUUAAUAUCUCUACACUACUUUACAGUACUGUAGCUCAGUAUUGCUUGUAAAACUGAAAACUGGUCUUUCAAGGAGAACAAGUCUUACUUUGUCUCCUUUAAAUAUUAUAAUAACACAUGUACACGAAUUGUAUUCGUGAGUUUUUUGAAAAAUAUGCUUAAAUCCAAC